GAGAUAGAGAGAAAAUAAGGAUUCAAAAGAGAGAAAAAAGGAGAAAAACUCAUUUUCGUUUUUCUGCAAACAAUCUCACUAAAUCGACGAUCCUCAAUUCAUUAAUCGUCGGAUCGAGCUCAAAUUUGGAGGGCAUGUUUGUAACACAUGUAUCUAACGUUUGACCAUUCAGAAUUCUAAAACAAUGUCUGUGGUGAGAGUUAUCUUCUUUGCACUUAAGCUGCAGAUUUGAGAAAAUUUCCAGCUUUUUUAUUCUUAUUAAGCUAGUUUGCUUUGUG
Molecule: long non-coding RNA, 278 nt
Filed under: Lathyrus oleraceus (garden pea)
Lineage: Eukaryota; Viridiplantae; Streptophyta; Magnoliopsida; Fabales; Fabaceae
Description: Pisum sativum (pea) long non-coding RNA (PSAT_LNC008022)
Source: RNAcentral